UACGUAGGGUGCGAGCGUUGUCCGGAAUUAUUGGGCGUAAAGAGCGUGUAGGCGGUUCGGUAAGUCGGCUGUGAAAGUACCAGGGCCUCAACCCUGGGAUGCCGGUCGAUACUGCCGGACUAGAGUUCGGAAGAGGCGAGUAGGAAUUCCCGGUGUAGCGGUGGAAAUGACGCAGAUAUCGGGAGGAACACCUAUGGCGAAGGCAGCUCGCUGGGACGUUACUGACGCUGAGACGCGGAAAGCGUGGGGAGCAAACAGG
RNAcentral lists this ribosomal RNA (259 nucleotides) under uncultured bacterium. Its description in RNAcentral is "partial 16S ribosomal RNA". It matches the Rfam family "Bacterial small subunit ribosomal RNA", at positions 524 to 776 of the family's 1533-position model. The record is from RNAcentral.